GUGAGGAAUAUUGGGCAAUGCCCGCAAGGGUGACCCAGCAACGCCGCGUGGAGGAUGAAGGCCGUAAGGUUGUAAACUCCUUUUGAAGGGGACGAAAAAACAGAUAGUCUCUGUAUUGACUGUACCCUUAGAAGAAGCCCCGGCUAACUACGUGCCAGCAGCCGCGGUAAUACGUAGGGGGCAAGCGUUGUCCGGAUUUACUGGGUGUAAAGGGCGCGUAGGCGGGUUUGUUAGUCAGAGGUGAAAUCCUGCAGCUUAACUGUAGAACUGCCUCUGAUACUGCAAAUCUUGAGUUCAGAAGAGAGAAGCGGAAUUCCAGGUGUAGUGGUGAAAUACGUAGAUAUCUGGAAGAACACCAGUGGCGAAGGCGGCUUCUUGGUCUGUAACUGACGCUGAGGCGCGAAAGCGUGGGGAGCAAACAGGAUUAGAAACCCUAGUAGUCC
Molecule: ribosomal RNA, 443 nt
Filed under: uncultured bacterium
Lineage: Bacteria
Description: bacterial SSU rRNA
Rfam family: Bacterial small subunit ribosomal RNA
Source: RNAcentral